UGCAGUCGAGCGAGGCUCCUUCUUCGGAAGGUGUCCUAGCGGCGAACGGGUGGGUAACACGUGGGCAACCUGCCCUCAGCUCUGGGAUAACUCCGGGAAACCGGGGCUAAUACCGGAUACGACUUCGGUCGACAUCGGUCGAGGUGGAAAGAAUUUCGGCUGAGGAUGGGCCCGCGGCCUAUCAUGCUUGAUGGUGAGGUAACGGCCCACCAUGGCGACGACGGGUAGCCGGCCUGAGAGGGCGACCGGCCACACUGGGACUGAGACACGGCCCAGACUCCUACGGGAGGCAACAGUGGGGAAUAUUGCGCAAUGGGCGAAAGCCUGACGCAGCGACGCCGCGUGAGGGAUGAAUGCCUUCGGGUUGUAAACCUCUUUCAGCUCCGACGAAGCGAAAGUGACGGUAGGGGCAGAAGAAGCACCGGCCAACUACGUGCCAGCAGCCGCGGUAAUACGUAGGGUGCAAGCGUUGUCCGGAUUUAUUGGGCGUAAAGAGCUCGUAGGCGGUUUGUCACGUCGGCUGUGAAAAUCCGGGGCUCAACCCCGGACCUGCAGUCGAUACGGGCAGACUAGAGUUCGGCAGGGGAGACUGGAAUUCCUGGUGUAGCGGUGAAAUGCGCAGAUAUCAGGAGGAACACCGGUGGCGAAGGCGGGUCUCUGGGCCGAAACUGACGCUGAGGAGCGAAAGCGUGGGGAGCAAACAGAUUAGAUACCCUGGUAGUCCACGCCGUAAACGUUGGGCGCUAGUGUGGGGAACCUUCCACGUUCUCCGUGCCGUANCUAACGCAUUAAGCGCCCCGCCUGGGGGAGUACG
Molecule: ribosomal RNA, 814 nt
Filed under: uncultured microorganism
Description: bacterial SSU rRNA
Rfam family: Bacterial small subunit ribosomal RNA
Source: RNAcentral